This is a long non-coding RNA of Sander lucioperca (pikeperch), 524 nucleotides long. RefSeq lists it as uncharacterized. The record is from RefSeq and is a predicted model, not a curated record. The transcript is spliced from 3 exons. NCBI's taxonomy places the organism in Eukaryota, Metazoa, Chordata, Actinopteri, Perciformes, Percidae.
AAAGUAGUAAGGAAAAACAAAAGGGGAGAGAGAAUUUAACAAAGAUCGCAAUGAGGAAAACGCUUCUUUUCAGCAUCGGGCUUUUCUCUGCAGUCAGAUGCCAACACUCAAAGGUAUGUCUUGGAGCCAAGAGGGAGGACUUACAUCUUCUGCCCAUAUGACACUGGGAAUGAAAACAAUCCUAAAUAUUUCUCUAAGGGUGACUAUGGCACAAGAAAGAUUCUAAUUAAAACCACUGACAAAUUGUGCAAAGAGAGGACACAAAAAGGGAAAUAUUACCUCUGUGAUGACACAAAAAAUAGGAUCCUGCAUGAGGCCAUCCAUGAACUGACCCUGAAUGAUGGACGACAUAUUGGUGUGAAAUAGAUACAUACCUAUUUGAUCCUAAAACAGAAAUCAAACUCAAAGUCCACAAAGCUCCUGCACCUCUCAAACCUCCCCUGGUCACAUCAAAUUUUCAAUAUUUCAACCACAAUUCAAGCCAUCACCAGGAACCAGCAGCAAUCAGAAAGAAUUACAGAUUG